CGUAAAGCGCAUGCAGGUGGUUUGUUAAGUCAGAUGUGAAAGACCCGGGGCGUCAACCUCGGAAUUGCAUUUGUAAACUGGCAAACUAGAGUACUGUAGAGGGGGGUAGGAAUUUCAGGUGUAGCGGUGAAAUGCGUAGAGAUCUGAAGGAAUACCGGUGGCGAAGGCGGCCCCCUCGGACAGAUACUGACACUCAGAUGCGAAAGCGUGGGGAGCAAACAGGAUUAGAUACCCUGGUAG
RNAcentral lists this ribosomal RNA (240 nucleotides) under uncultured bacterium. RNAcentral's name for it is "partial 16S ribosomal RNA". It matches the Rfam family "Bacterial small subunit ribosomal RNA", at positions 559 to 793 of the family's 1533-position model. The record is from RNAcentral.